Non-coding RNA from Myotis davidii, 74 nucleotides. NCBI's taxonomy places the organism in Eukaryota, Metazoa, Chordata, Mammalia, Chiroptera, Vespertilionidae. The record is from Rfam.
CGUGGUUCUCAGGUGAUGCACCCGGAAUCGGGCUCCCUCCUCUCUGGUUUUGGGUGUGUAACCUGAGAACUGCA